CGAAAUGUUGUUUACGUUGCAGUAUGUCGACUGAAUGUAGGUCACCCAGAAAAAACUGGAACAAAAUGGCGAUCGAGUCCGCAGAGGAGGAAAAACUAACGCCUGCCUUCUGGUUGCCAGGCUGGGGUGGAUUUAAUGACUUUAUCGUUGGACUUUAACUUACACAAUAUUUUGUG
This is a long non-coding RNA of Cyprinodon tularosa, 176 nucleotides long. RefSeq lists it as uncharacterized. The record is from RefSeq and is a predicted model, not a curated record. NCBI's taxonomy places the organism in Eukaryota, Metazoa, Chordata, Actinopteri, Cyprinodontiformes, Cyprinodontidae. The transcript has 2 exons.